AUGACCAAACGGGAGGCGGCGGCCGCGAAGGCCAACCGCUUCCGUAGGGAAGUGAGAAGGCCGCCGCUAGUCUCUGCGCCCCCCCUUUUCUUUGAGAGAGUCGCCGUCCCCUCCGUCAUGGGGUCGGCAGAGACGUCCGCCAAUACUCGGCGGGUCGACCCCGCCGCCGACCUCCGGGAGGCGACGGAGCGAAACGCGCGGGAGAAGCGCGACGAGGAGGAGGCCGACCGUCUGAAGAAGGCGGAGGCCGAGAAGGCGUCCACCUCCGCCCAGAAGAAGCUGGAGGACGCCGAAGCCGCUCUUGCGGCGAGACGACGAGCCGAGGAGGCCGCGCGUCGCCGAUCGGCGAUGCUCGUCCCCCCACUGUCCUCUGCACUGCCGCCUUCAGAGUUCACGGGACAGACCGGAGAGGCCGGCACCGAGAACCCCGUCGUGAAGGAGAGCGGCGAGGCCUCCAUGUCGGACACUCUCGUGCCGCCACCGCCGCCUCCACUGUCGUCUGGGAGACCGCAUGGCAAACAGCCGGCGGGUCCGCCGGAGCCGCCGACCGCGGACGAGUCCGAGGCGAGGCUGCUUCUCCAAGCCGCCUCGCCGGUGCGCCGCCGUCUUGAGAGGGCGACCUCGGCGCCGCGACCUCGGGAGACCGGCGCCGCCAGCUCGGCAGCCCUAGACGCUGAGGCAACUAGCGCCGCGUCCAUCGGGUGGUUGCGUGGAGGCGCCACUGGGCCGCUGAAUCAAGCGCUUCUGGACGUUCAGGCGAAGUUGUAUGCUGAAGGCGACACCCUUCAAACUUGCACCAGGGCGCAUCUGGCAGCGCGGAGGCCGUCCGAGAGUAUCACAACCUCCGCGCCACUGCCUUCAACCGCAAUGUUGAAGAGUUGA
RNAcentral lists this ribosomal RNA (882 nucleotides) under Triticum aestivum (bread wheat). RNAcentral's name for it is "partial small subunit ribosomal RNA". The record is from RNAcentral. Lineage: Eukaryota; Viridiplantae; Streptophyta; Magnoliopsida; Poales; Poaceae.